UGGGUCUUUGCGGGCGAGAUGAGGAUGUCGGAUCAACUGGCCUACAAAGUCCCAGU
Molecule: microRNA precursor, 56 nt
Filed under: Otolemur garnettii (small-eared galago)
Lineage: Eukaryota; Metazoa; Chordata; Mammalia; Primates; Galagidae
Description: microRNA oga-mir-193a precursor
Gene: oga-mir-193a
Source: miRBase by way of RNAcentral